This 8598-nucleotide long non-coding RNA is filed under the name Fragaria vesca (wild strawberry). RNAcentral describes it as "long non-coding RNA (FVES_LNC001651)". Lineage: Eukaryota; Viridiplantae; Streptophyta; Magnoliopsida; Rosales; Rosaceae. The record is from RNAcentral.
UCAUGCAUUAAGGAAUGACAAAACCAUCUUGAACUUGGAAAAUCUUCUCUCUUUAUGCCGCACGGAUUCUCUCUCCUUAGAGACUUGGGAAAUCUUCACGGCAUCUCCAUACAUAUCUCGGAUUGUACUUCUCCUAGCUCAAGCAGGAACUCCUAGUUGCCGGCCACCUUUCCCUCAUGAGUUAGGAAAACAUUUCCUAAUCAACACGGGUUUAGACUUUCCUGAAAUAGAAAUGAGAAAAUUAGAGACUAGGAAAGAGGAAAGAUGGAAUCCUGAUCAAGACAGGAAUCCUGAGUAAACAAGGAUUUCCAACACUAAGCACAAUUUCAACACCAAAUUAUUCAAAUCCGAAAAUACUAUGUAUUCUAAUACUAAAAACUACAUAUUUCUAAAUUAAGCAAUUAUUCUACACUAAACACAAAUAUAAAGCUAAAACAACUAAAUAGGAGUUAGCAAAGGGUAAAUAAAGGGUAUAAACAUAUUAAGAACGUCACACUUUGUGCUCCUAUCACAUUUCCAUAGAACAUAUGCUGCAACGAUAGCUCAAAAACGCUCAACACAAAAACUGGAAAUUUCAUGACUAGCUUCGGCCAGUCUCCAAAGCUCAAUAAAAUACAGCCUCUCAGGCUAAAAUACAAAUAUAUAUGUAUGUAUCUACACUCGUCCAUACUCCUUGUAUGAAUUCUUAAGAAAAUAUAAGAAAAAUAGAAGUUCAUACAAGGCUACUACGCUUGCGUCCAACGCUCAUGUCACGCCUUAAUGCGGUGAUACACUACGCCAUUAAAGUAGACAGACGGGUGUAUAAAUAUGUGCCCAUAACUCCUAUAUGAAUUAAACACUCAUAUACGCUACCACGCUCGCGUCCAAUGCUCACGUCACACCAUAAUGCGGCUAUAUGCUACGCCAUUAAGGUGGACAGACACAUAUGGCUAGCUAGCAUUCCUUCAUAUACAUAUUAUUCUCAUAAUCAUCCAAAUAUGGAUAUAUAUAUAUAUAUAUAUACUCACCGAAAUUCUCAAUUUCGGUUAUUCUCCAACAAUAAUGAAAAUUGCCAAUUAUCAUAAAAAGCAAUAUGCACACGACUCCACCGAAAAUCUCAUUUUCGGUAACUUUCCAAAUAACACGAUAGCCAUUAAAAAUGAGAACAUUGACUUCUGAAAAUGACUUCGCGAAAAUAAACAAUUCCACAUUGAUAUUCAAUAAAAUCAAUUAUUUAAUAUAGAAUCACCGCAUGCAUAUAUUUUAAAACAAAAGUCCACUCACAACUUUAGGCCUAAGCCCGACGUCGAUCCGAGUCCUCUUCCUCUCCAGCCUCCUCACGUCGUGAGCCAAACAUAUAAUUAAUAGGCAAAAUAAACCAAGAGCCAUAAACACGCUCAUCAUUGCCUAACUUCGAUAUUCUUAAAUCGAAACAACCCAAACUUUAAUACCAUACUCGGCAGCCGUAAUUACAACCUCCCCAGAACAACGAUUUAAAUCCUACGACCGGAAUCUACAUUAUUUAACCGCCAAAAAUACUAAACUUCGGAAAUUCCCAAACCUAUCAAAAACUCAUCCAAAAAUUCCAUAACUCACAUCAAUAAACUCCCCUUAAUAUUCCACACUUAAAACUAUACAAAACUCCCAAACAGCGAUGGCGCCGGCGCCGGCUCUGCCGGCAGCACCGGCCGGAGGCCGAUUCCGGUGACCUCCAAUGCCUAUGAAAUUUUGACAGAAUAAUCUCCUCAUCAUGCUCUACAACUUUCCUAACUAGCACAACACCCAAAUCCAAGCCUAACUAGGCCAAUUGAAUGAAAACACACUAGAAAACCAUAGAGCUUCCACUCACCGGUUCUCCUUACCUAUACCACGAGAGGGCGAACUCUUUGGAGGGAUUGCUGCACGGGAGGAGAGCUUCACAACGAGCCAAGACUCGCCGGCUAUGGCGGCCGGAGGAUGGAGCUCCGACUUGAGGACAACCGGCUUCCAAGGAGGACUUCCUCUGUUCGGCGGGGUUGCAGCGCCGCUCACCAGCCCAGGAAGGCGGCGGGGAGGAUGACGGACCGUGCUGGAGUGUUGCAGCGUCCCUGCUUGGCCGGACGGCGACGGCGGGCGCUGGUCUUUCGGCGAAGUGAGAGAGAGCUCGGGAGAAGAAGAACCGGGGAAAGAAAAGAGAGAAGGAGAAAAAGAGGAGAAGAAGAGAAGAAAAAGAGAGGAGAAAAUGGGGUUUGGGCCUCACACCAACCCGGCCCAACACCACAAUUAAACCCAACUCCACCAUUAAAACACUCCAAAAAUAAAUGCCCUAAUAAAAAGUACCUUUUACUAGCUAAAACUCACCAUUUUUACCAUCGUCAUAUUUUUCUCCUACGAAUAAUCCUCCAAAAAUAACCGUCCCCAAAACCCCUCUAGGGACCAAUUAAACUAUAACCUCAAUGACGGAGACGGUAAAAUUCUUAUUAUAAUCAAGCUAGUAAAUAAGGUAAAUAUUUUAGGGUCGGGAUGUGACAAUUCUCCCCUCAUAAAAAAUUUCGUCCUCGAAAUUUACAUACUUGACAAAUCAAAGAGAUAGGGAUACUGCUACCUCAUUUGCUCCUCUGAUUCCCAAGUAGCUUCAUCUACUUGAUGACUCCUCCACAAAACUUUAACAAGAGGAAAAAGAUUUGCUUCAAAGCACUUGCUCUUUUUGGUCAAGAAUCUGUACCGGCUCCUCAUCAUAGGCCAAAUCUUUUUCCAAUUAAUCGACUGCUCUCGCAACACAUGAGAGAGAUCGGCAAUAAACUUCCGAAGCAUGGAUACAUGAAACCCAUUAUGUAUCUUGGAUAACUCCGGGGGCAAAACUAACCUAUACGCAAGAGAGCCAACUUGAUCUAAAACCCAUAAGGACCAAUAAAUCUUGGACCAAGCUUUUCACAUUACCAAACGUACCACCCCUUUCCAAGGAGACAAUUUCGAAAACACACAAACACUCACUUCAAACUCAUGGUCCUUCCUGCGGACAUCUUUAUAACUCUGCUGGCUACUAAGAGAUGUUUUGAGUCUUUCUCUGACUCCUUUAACCUUUUCAUUUCUCGAAGACUCUAAAUCCUUCAUUGAACUACCACUAACGUUUGCACGUAAGUGAGUUCAGUGAUACCUGCGCAAGAGUACAAGUACCCGUAGGUAUGCACACUCUUUCCUGAGCAAUGGAAAUAGCUAACCCAAAUAAAACGCAUACAUUUGCUAUCACCAUCGGGCUCAAAUCUCCUAACGUCACGCAACAACUUAGUCAUUACGCUGCUCACAGCUCGACAAUGAAGCCCACUUGCUACAAAACUAACAUUCACGCAUUCCCACAUGCUCAUAGGGGUCAAAAUUAAGACCCGCUAAUUGAACAGAUUUUUUAAGGAUGCACACACUGCAGAACUGCAACAAUCACUUCUAAUGCCAAGACAUUUCGCAGAGUCUUUCGCGGAGUCAAAGCUCUCGCAAGUCCACAAGACAACCUUGCUCUGCCUAAGAGACCAGUCCACCAACAUAUGAUAACCUCGAUUCUCGAAAUGACAUUAUGAAAAGAUCAAUACUACGUCACUUAGGUCUCUCCACCAAAACUAUUACAUUACCUUUUUGAACACCACAAACUAGCAGCUUAUGAGAAUUUCAACUCUCUCCUGAUUAUGCUAUCUCCACUAUUCUCUUUACCACAAACUAGAAGAUAAUUUGAAGCAUGACUAUCAUGUGGAAACUGGAAUUUCCUCCUUGCUCACCAUAAACAAAACUGACUAAUAAUGCCCACGAAAAAUUGGCACAGUCAAUUCGUGAUGCUAAACAUGACGUUGAAAUCCACAUAAAUAGAGCACCUUCCUUAAGCAUUGACAAAAUUUACAUCUCCAACCAUGCUACUUAUUCGUGUGCAACCAUGACCCCAAGAGAAAUAAUUAAAAGCACACGGCUCACUCUAGCCGUUCCACAAGAAUGAUUCUAAAUACCAACAUCUUUGAACCCGACAAACACACUUCUUUUCUACCUCCAAUAAUAAUUAAUCAGAUAGCAGAAAACGAUCUGAAAAUCAGAUAUGCUCAAGUCUCUUACGUCUCCCAGGGCCACGGCUUCCCACCAAAAAGAUUCUUCGAUAACCGAGCUUGCAAUAACAUGCAACAAAUAAAAGAAAAGAUAAAUUUUUAAUACAACAUCCACUACUACACCUUGUGGAUCACCAACCAACGAAAAUCAUGAAUUCAAGCAAAAAUCAAAACUCAUGGCUAAACUCAGCUCAAGUUCCAGAAGAAAUAACUUAAAGCACACGAAAGGCAAGUCCUCUAACUUCGAGCUCAAAAGCUCCACAAAUCUCCGAUAACCGCUAAAACCCGCUUCGAAAUCGCACUAGAAACUUCAACUAAUCAUCCUGACAUCAACGGAUGAACACACAACCACAUAGCGAAGACCUCCCAAAUCAAACUUGGAUCAAUGAGUGGUCCCACCACAAUACGAUCCCGAGAAGAGAUGCUGAUCAAUCUAUCAAUAUCUACUACUCUCAAUAUUAACACUCUUAAUAAACCUUGACCCUAGACGCUUCUUGAGUCAACAGGGGAAAACCCUCUUCCAUAAGGCUACACAUAAAAUAUACCUGCAACGAAACAAACCAUCUAAUCAACAUCUCCACAUGACCUUCAGACUACCACAUAAGACUUACGGCUCCAAGAUUCAUCGCUUAAAUGAACUGCAGCUCACUUGGGAUCACCACCGGAUUUAUUCCGGAUCCAUGACUACGACACAACUACCAAUUAACAUUUACCUUAAAACUUCGACAAAAGUAACCAAAAUCUCUACCCUUCAAAUCGAAGCAUUGAAUUCGCAUUCCAAAAUUUCAAGCUCUGAGGACGCUACCCAAAACUACAGCAGAAAUAAUUUAUAUACUUCCAACACACCACAACUAAACCUUUACUCCAUCUCACCGAAUUAGAAAUAAGGUGAGAACAGAUUCUCCCAUUGAUAUGUCGUAGAUAGUCACCCAUUGCGAACAAAAUGAUGUCAAAAACCAAUUUCGAUCACAAAUUUGAGACUUACAUCAACCACCCGGAAUGACACUGCUUAAAAAUUACUUUGGACACCCACGCACUCUUGCUUUAUGAUCCAGUGGGUUCUAUUCUACCGCUACCACUUCCACCAAUUUCACGCAACUACCUUAGAAUUUAUAAAACAAAAACUCAUGACAACACCUAUUUAAAAUUUCACCAUGUGUUGUCAUAAAACUGGAGUGACCACAACCAUCACUCCACCAUUACUUUUCGAUUCCAUUUACAUUAUCAUCUUCCCAACACUCAACAAAUAUGGAAACCAAACUUCAACACCUGGAAUUCCGAAAGAAUCCAUACUGGCCCCACGAUUAAAAUAAUAUAACCGACAACUCACUCCAUAAUUCCAAACUUGCUUGAAACUCAACAUUUAGUGUCAUCAAUAAAAUUUUAAAAUUCCCCGACUGUGGCACAACAAGAAGUUGUCACAACGCACUGACGAAUAACUUUUGUAAAACCAACAAUCCAAGUCAUUCUACUUAGUGCUUUAACAAACUUCAACUAACCCACAAUAGAGACUAAGAUCAUCAGAAAACUUAUUAUUCAUCGACUACUAACAUCCAUCAUUUUCAAAAUAUAUUACCACUACCAUCUGAAUAAAAUGCUCUAAGGAUAGAAACAUAUCCAUAAUUAGCACUGCAGAAACCAAAACAUAUACCGCCACAACCAAAAUUAUCCCAACAUGUUCCCAAUUGAUUUAUGUUGCGGAUAAAAUUGUCGGCAAAAUGGCCUUCAAUCAAGACUUAACUAAAUUGACAUUUAUCUUUUUAUGCAGCAAUGCCUUACCACCCAAUCACUAGCCACAAAUUCUCUAAAACCUUAUUUAACCCAAGACUAGGGUCCUCAACAACUCAUAUAGGUACCCCUUUGAAUUACCAUUGGAUACAUCACCUCAUCAUUUCAACUAACUUUUACAUCAAUAGAAUACACCACUACUUCGAAUUUUCCUUCCAACUCGACUCUCUCAGAAGUCACGUAACUCAAUACCAAAAUCUCCCACCAAUCCCUUUUUGGACUCCAAUCUUGCCCACUAAAAAUGGACAACUCCAAGGCAUUAAUCAUCAACAUUUCACCCCACAUAUUUGCACAAGAUGCUCACCUUAGCAUCUUAAUCUGAAACCUUAAUCUUAACCCAAUCAAUCAUUGGAUACCUGAAAAGAAUGCUAACAAGCUUUUUCGUUCCCCACUCGCAAAUCAACUCCAACCAUUAAUAUCAAAGAUAUUAAAUUAAUGAACCUUGGAAUAGGUGCAAAUUAUACACCUUUUCAAAACUCGAAGGAUGAACACUCAAGAGGUCGGCGUACAGAGGCAUAGACUUAGAGAUGUAGACAUUUAUGGCACACUGCUGUCCAUAAAUAAAAGAAGAACAACUACAUCACAAACCUAAUCAACACAUAGUGUCUAAAGCAUAUAAUGCUAAUAGAUCCGCCGCGGUCGGACCAUCACUCUAUAGACACUAAGCAUGACUAGGAAUAUGAGAUAGUACUAAAAAGAGAAAGGAAACGAAUAACCUAGUGCUCUGAUACCAACUGUCAGGACCCACCCCGAAUUUCACUCUGAAACCCGAAGUAAAUCCUGCGGGGACCACCUCCAAGGAAAAUUUACUGAAAAUUCGGCAUAACCUCCCUUGAAAAUGGACAACCCUUCCUAAGAAAACCUGCAUACACUUCUGAUAAACCAAAUCCAACUUUAAACUCCUGGAGCCUUCAUGCUCCCCCAAAUCACAACAUCUCUCAAUUAUUUAAAUAUCUACACAAAUCUCAUAUCCAACCAUUUAUAGGUGGUCUCCAAAGCACAAUAAAAUACAGCCUCUCAGGCUAAAAUACAAAUAUAUAUGUAUGUAUCUACACUCGUCCAUACUCCUUGUAUGAAUUCUUCAGAAAAUAUAAGAAAAAUAGAAGUUCAUACAAAGCUACUACGCUUGCGUCCAUCGCUCACGUCACGCCUUAAUGCGGUGAUACACUACACCGUUAAGGUGGACAGACGGGUGUAUAAAUAUGUGCCCAUACCCCCUAUAUGAAUUAAACACUCAUAUAGGGCUACUACGCUCGCGUCCAACGCUUACGUCAUACCAUAAUGCGGCUAUAUGCUACGCCAUUAAGGUGGACAGACACAUAUGGCUAGCUAGCAUUCCUUCAUAUACAUAUUAUUCUCAUAAUCAUCCAAAUAUGGAUAUAUAUAUAUAUAUACUCACCGAAAUUCUCAAUUUCGGUUAUUCUCCAACAAUAAUGAAAAUUGCCAAUUAUCAUAAAAAGCAAUAUGCACACGACUCCACCGAAAAUCUCAUUUUCGGUAACUUUCCAAAUAACACGAUAGCCAUUAAAAAUGAGAACAUUGACUUCUGAAAAUGACUUUGCGAAAAUAAACAAUUCCACAUUGAUAUUCAAUAAAAUCAAUCAUUUAAUAUAGAAUCACCGCAUGCAUAUAUUUUAAAACAAAAGUCCACUCACAACUUUAGGCCUAAGCCCGACGUCGAUCCGAGGCCUCUUCCACUCGAGCCUCCUCACGUCUUGAGCCAAACAUAUAAUUAAUUUCCCAACUAAAAAUCCAAUAUUUACACAAAAUAGGCAAAAUUAACCGAGAGCCAUAAACACGCUCAUCAUUGCCUAACUUCGAUAUUCUUAAAUCGAAACGACCGAAACUUUAAUACCAUACUCGGCAACCGUAAUUACAACCUCCCCAGAACAACGAUUUAAAUCCUAUGACCGGAAUCUACAUUAUUUUUAACCGCCAAAAAUACUAAACUUCGGAAAUUCCCAAACCUAUCCAAAACUCAUCCAAAAAUUCCAUAACUCACAUCAAUAAACUCCCUUUAAUAUUCCACACUUAAAAUGUCACAUCCUGACCCUUAUAUUUUUACCUCAUUUACUAGCCUGAUUAUAAUAAGAAUUUUACCGUCUCGAUCAUUGAGUAAAUAGUUUAAUUGGUCCCUAGAGGGGUUUCGGGGACGAUUAUGUGCGGAGGAUUAUUCGUAUGAGGAAAAUACGACGACGGUAAAAAUGGUAAAUUUUAGCCAGUAAAAGGUAAUUUUUAUUCGGGUAUUAUUUUUUCGGGGUGUUUUUAUUUUUGGAAGAUUGGGUUAAGUGUUGUGGACCGGUUUGGGGUGAGGCCCAAAAACCUUUUUUCUCUUCUCCCUCUCUCCCGAUUCUCUCUCCUCCCACCCGAUUUUCUCCUCUCUCCACCUGGAAAUUUCACCACCGCCGUCUGCCGCCGUCCGGCCACCCACCGGCCGCCGCACCAGCCCAGAUCGGACCCCCGUCACCUCUUCUCCCUCCCCGGCCUAGUGUCCGAGCCGGUGGUGCCGCCGAAGAGGAGAAAAAGCCGCCGGAACCGCCGACUGUCCAAAGCUUCACUUCGCCGGAACUUCCUCCUCCGGCCACCAAUCCGGGCAAGCUUGGUACGGUUUUGUAGCCCUCCUCCCGUGCAACAACCCCUCCAAGCAGCUCCCUCCCUCUUGAGCUAGGUAAUUAAGGAGAAAUUUGAGGUGGAAGUUUUAUGGUGUUUAAGUUGUUUCCGUUCGAUUAGCCUAGUAAGGCUUGGAAUUGGGUGAUGUGUUAGUCAUGAA